Non-coding RNA from Pelodiscus sinensis (Chinese soft-shelled turtle), 1338 nucleotides. NCBI's taxonomy places the organism in Eukaryota, Metazoa, Chordata, Testudines, Trionychidae. The record is from RefSeq and is a predicted model, not a curated record.
CUCCUGUCGCCUCUGUAGACCCAUAGAAAAGAAAAGUGCAGUGAUCAAAACAAGAGAAACAGGAUGGAUUCAAGUUUUCCUCCCCAAGAGAAAUGAGCAUCUCCCUUUCCCUGUAAUGAUGAAGUUCACUAAAAUAUCCAACAAAGACAAUACAAGAUUCUUCUAUCGAGUCACUGAAGGUUGGUUUACCACAUAAAACAUCAAGAGUUCAUCUGAUGCCAUGAUCCUUGGUUUCCUGCUGUGUGGCCAGCCUGGAUUUCCAACAGUCUAACUUGGGAUCACAGCCAAGCAGCUUCUUCCAAGCUGUUCCCGCUAAUAAGGAACUAUAUUAUAACCAUCAUUGCUGCAUAAGGGUUUACAUUUUCAAGCUUUUCCAGAACACUGUAAAAAUUAAAACUGAGAUUCUCAACACAAUGAUUCCAAGAAAUGGAGCUUUAAGAAAAAAAAAACACACCAAGUAUUGCAAGAGAUGCAAUAAAAGCCGUGAGAGAUGGCAAGCAACAUCGGAAGCUGGAAAAUUCAUGACUUUUCUGAAUAUUCUUGUUUCAUUUAGAAAACUGAGAAAGCGCAACUGUUUUGUUGCUGCCAGAGGACUUUGAGAUUGCUUAUAACAGUAAUCUGGCACAGAAAUACUAAAUGCACAUUAUAAAUUAUGUGAAGCAUACAUUUUAUAAAUUGGUCUUAUAAGGCAAUGCCAGUUUUCUGGCUGUGUUUGUAAAUUAGUUGGACAUACUAGUUUAGGAGCUGUUGUCCUGAGUUUUCAUUCUAUUACCGAAAAAUAUAAGAAAUUAAGAAAACAUUGUUUGCCAAUUAAUGGAGAAACUAAGGUAUAUCACAAGGGGGGACAGGGAACAUGCCUUUUUAAUCUAAUAGGCCAUGUAAGUUUAUGGUGUCAUUGAAUUGAAAAAUCUUUUGCAUUUAAGCUGCUAAAACAAGUUUAUUUAAAUCUCUGAAGAAUGGAGGGGAGAAGGUUUCUAUGAUUAGGUUUUAAAAAUGAAAAGUGAAAAUGAAAAUCUCAUCCAACUGCUUAGUAAGAUUUUAGGACUAUAUAUUUACAUAGAAAUAUCAAACACGGAGUUUCAUAUUAGAUCACAGCUGCAAACAAUUCAAAGCCACCGACAGAACACAACAUUUAAAAGGAGAGAAGCGGGGGCGAGAGAGAGGGGGAAUAAGAACAGAUUUAGAAAUAUUCAAAAUGCAUGCUUACAGUACUGUAUCACACUUUGAUUCAGAACACCCCAGAAAUGGUAAAGACAACAUCCAAUGCAUAUCGGAUCAUUAUUAAUACAGAAAAACAAAAAUACCAAGACGGGAAGAGGUAUUGAAGAGAAAGAAACA